This 551-nucleotide ribosomal RNA is filed under the name uncultured Glomus. RNAcentral describes it as "eukaryotic LSU rRNA". The stretch from base 156 to 309 matches the Rfam family "5.8S ribosomal RNA". Lineage: Eukaryota; Fungi; Glomeromycota; Glomeromycetes; Glomerales; Glomeraceae. The record is from RNAcentral.
GGAAGUAAAAGUCGUAACAAGGUUUCCGUAGGUGAACCUGCGGAAGGAUCAUUACUGAUUUAGCGAACCGAGCGUUAGCGAGGUUUUGCGAUCAACUUGUAUUUAAAACCCACUCUUCAAUGUAUAAAAUUUGUAUUAAUGAUAAAUUAAAGGAUCACUUUCAACAACGGAUCUCUUGGCUCUCGCAUCGAUGAAGAACGUAGCGAAGUGCGAUAAGUAAUGUGAAUUGCAGUAUUCCGUGAAUCAUCGAACCUUUGAACGCAUAUUGCACUUUCUGGUAUUCCGGAAAGUAUGCCUGUUUGAGGGUCAGUUAAAUAAAAAUCGGUGUUGUUGCCGCUUUCCGUGGUGACGCGUCGGAAUUGAGUCGUCUUCGGUUAAGUGACUUAAAAUUUUAUAUGAUUUUCGAACGUAUUUAAAUUUAUUUGAACGUUUGAUAUCUAAUGCUUAUUAGGUUCGGUCAUCCUCAUGACUCGCGCCUAUAAUUUUUCAUUAAAUGACCUCAAAUCAGGUAAGAAUACCCGCUGAACUUAAGCAUAUCAAUAAGCGGAGGA